RNAcentral lists this ribosomal RNA (1270 nucleotides) under 'Chrysanthemum morifolium' phyllody and little leaf phytoplasma. Its description in RNAcentral is "bacterial SSU rRNA". It matches the Rfam family "Bacterial small subunit ribosomal RNA", at positions 195 to 1474 of the family's 1533-position model. Lineage: Bacteria; Bacillati; Mycoplasmatota; Mollicutes; Acholeplasmatales; Acholeplasmataceae. The record is from RNAcentral.
UUCUUACGAAGGUAUGCUUAAAGAGGGGCUUGCGCCACAUUAGUUAGUUGGUAGAGUAAAAGCCUACCAAGACGAUGAUGUGUAGCUGGACUGAGAGGUUGAACAGCCACAUUGGGACUGAGACACGGCCCAAACUCCUACGGGAGGCAGCAGUAGGGAAUUUUCGGCAAUGGAGGAAACUCUGACCGAGCAACGCCGCGUGAACGAUGAAGUAUUUCGGUAUGUAAAGUUCUUUUAUUGAAGAAGAAAAAGUAGUGGAAAAACUAUAUUGACGUUAUUCAAUGAAUAAGCCCCGGCUAACUAUGUGCCAGCAGCCGCGGUAAGACAUAGGGGGCGAGCGUUAUCCGGAAUUAUUGGGCGUAAAGGGUGGCUAGGCUGUUAGAUAAGUAUAUAAUUUAAUUUCAGUGCUUAACGCCGUCUUUUUAUAGAAACAGUCUUGACUAGAGUGAGAUAGAGGCAAGCGGAAUUCCAUGUGUAGCGGUAAAAUGUGUAAAUAUAUGGAGGAACACCAGAAGCGUAGGCGGCUCGCUGGGUCUUUACUGACGCUGAGGCACGAAAGCGUGGGUAGCAAACAGGAUUAGAUACCCUGGUAGUCCACGCCGUAAACGAUGAGUACUAAGUGUCGGGGUAAAACUCGGUACUGAAGUUAACACAUUAAGUACUCCGCCUGAGUAGUACGUACGCAAGUAUGAAACUUAAAGGAAUUGACGGGACUCCGCACAAGCGGUGGAUCAUGUUGUUUAAUUCGAAGAUACACGAAAAAUCUUACCAGGUCUUGACAUACUCUGCAAAGCUAUAGAAAUAUAGUGGAGGUUAUCAGGGAUACAGGUGGUGCAUGGUUGUCGUCAGUUCGUGUCGUGAGAUGUUAGGUUAAGUCCUAAAACGAACGCAACCCUUGUCGUUAAUUGCCAGCACAUAAUGGUGGGGACUUUAACGAGACUGCCAAUUAAACAUUGGAGGAAGGUGAGGAUUACGUCAAAUCAUCAUGCCCCUUAUGAUCUGGGCUACAAACGUGAUACAAUGGCUGUGACAAAGAGUAGCUGAAACGCGAGUUUUUAGCCAAUCUCAAAAAAGCAGUCUCAGUUCGGAUUGAAGUCUGCAACUCGACUUCAUGAAGUUGGAAUCGCUAGUAAUCGCGAAUCAGCAUGUCGCGGUGAAUACGUUCUCGGGGUUUGUACACACCGCCCGUCAAACCACGAAAGUUAGCAAUGCCCGAAAGCAGUAGCUUAACUUCGCAAGAAGAGGGAACUGUCUAAGGUAGGGUUGAUGA